CUUCCUUCCAAUUAUAUUUUUUCCAAAACCUAACAUUCCGAUUUUGCUCUCAUCUCUCUCAAAUCAAAUCGCUGCUGCUUUCUUUCUCUACACCCCCGACCUCACAAAUGGAUAAGAAUAAUGGAAGUGGAAGCCAACAGCAACCUGAUGGAAAAGUG
Molecule: non-coding RNA, 158 nt
Organism: Cicer arietinum (chickpea)
Lineage: Eukaryota; Viridiplantae; Streptophyta; Magnoliopsida; Fabales; Fabaceae
Source: RefSeq, a predicted model, not a curated record